GCCGGGGUAGCUCAGUUGGUUAGAGCAAGGGACUCAUAAGCCCUAGGUCGUCGGUUCGACUCCGACUCCCGGCA
RNAcentral lists this transfer RNA (74 nucleotides) under candidate division WOR-1 bacterium DG_54_3. Its description in RNAcentral is "tRNA-Met". It matches the Rfam family "tRNA". Rfam says of the family: Transfer RNA (tRNA) molecules are approximately 80 nucleotides in length. Lineage: Bacteria; Bacillati. The record is from RNAcentral.